CUAAAGACCCAUGGGCACACCACUGGUCUCCAUCUACUUUAGAUCUAAGGAUCUCAGUCCUGACUGCAUUGGCAUCCUGGGUCUGUUUUCCUCAGGAGAAUGUAUUAGCAGUUUCUAGGCUUAUGUAAUCUUAUGGUCAAUAAAGGCCACAGAUCUGGAAAAGCCUCCAGAAUUCUAGAAAAUAUAAAGAAACGUGCCCUAUUUUCCUUAAUCAUUAAAGAAUACUUGCUGAUGUGAAACACAGUUGGUUAAAAAGCUGUUCCCUGGUGAGUGUCAUUUCUGACUGUUCCCCAUUGCUUCUCUCUUCCACUGAAAUGCUGACCUUCAGAACAGCCGCAGCCACACGGCUGGUGACCCCUGCAAGAUGUGUGCUCCCAGCCACUAUGGGAAGGUGAUUGGGUUGCUUGGAGACUGCACCCCGUGUACCUGUCCUCACCGCCCCCCUUUCAGUUUCAGCCCCACCUGUGUCUUGGAAGGUGAUGGUGGUUUCCGGUGCGAUGCCUGCAUCCCUGGCUAUGAAGGACAGGGUGUUCUGCAUUUCCUUUCUAAAAGGGAUGACGGCCUCUGGGCAGAGCUGGCGCGUGUGUUCCUGGUUGACGCAGAUUGCCCUGUCUAUACCUACUGUCCCCGUUUCAGUAGGUGCUUUACAGGCUAUCAUGACAACCCUCAUGCAGCAGUUGGCAGCUGCCAGAAGUGUGACUAUAACCCGCAAGGCUCUGUCCACAGUGACUGUGACCACACAUCUGGGCAGUGUGUUUGCAAGCCAGGAGCCACGGUCCUCCACUGUGAUGAAUGCUGGCCAAGACACAUCAUGGCAGAGAGCGACUGCAUGUCCUGUGAUGAUGAGUGUGUGGGCGCCGUGCUGAAUGACCUGGAUACUGUUGGCGACGCUGUUCUGUCUCUGAACCUCACUGGCGUUUCCUCUGCUCCAUAUGGGAUCUUGUCAAGUCUGGAAAACACAACUAAAUAUUCCAGGAACUAAAACCUCCCAGGCAGCGAGGUUCCACUUCCAGUAGUCAGUGAAAUCCUGCACUGCACUGACAUUCUGGUCUCCCAGGCAGUGAGGCUCCAUUUCCGGUAGUCAAUGUGAGAUCCUGUACUCUACACUGACAUUCUGGUCUCCCAUCUCAGAAAGCUCUCUAGAGUCUUAUCAAGCCGUCAGCAGGUGAAUAAAGCAACGAGAAGAACUGUCAGUGGGACUCGAGCCCUGGCCACGUUCAUUGAGCAGCUGCACGCCAACAUCAAAGGGCUGCUAAAGAGUUACUGUCACGAAUUCAGAGAGGUUCCAGAAGCCCCAGGAAAAGCUGAAGGCAUUGAAGGAGGCAGCCAGUGGCCUCCGUUCAGACCACAGCGAAGAACUGCAGGCGGCAGAGGAGCUCCUGAGGGAAGCUGAGACCAAGACCCAGGAGAGCAACGGCCUGCUGCUCCUCGUCAAGGCCAACCUGAGAGAGUUCAGCCCAACAAUCGAAGUUUGGAAAAGCUGAUUCCUAUGAAACUAGGAGAAGGAUUUCAUGCAACAAUCUACAAAGGGAAAAGCAACUCUGUCUGGCCCACCUCAAGCUGUGACACACCUCCUUCCAGUAAUGGUUAGCGACUUCAGUCCACACCUACCACUAGCCUGUGCUAGCCUGGACUUAGCAGUCAGUCGAUUUCAGCUCCGUUUUGGUAAGUAUGUUGCCUCCAACCUUAGCCUAUUUCAGACAGAUGCUUGAGCUCUGAGAGCCCAGGUCACCUUGUCAAACUCUUAAAAUCAUCUACAUUGCCUCACAUAAUUCUCUGUCUCCCCUCUUCUCUCUGCCUGUCCGUCUGUGUGUGCCGCACCUAUGUGCUAUCUUUAGCAUGUGGAGGUUGUAGGACAACCCUAUAAAUUCAUUCUCUUCAACCGCUUUGUAGAUCGAACUGUGUUGCUUCCUCCUCCAAAUGUUUUUGCUGGUGGAGACGCUGAUGGGCAUGAAGCAAUGCUGGCACUUGCUGGAGAAGUCAGUGACGGCUCUGAGAAGUGGGAGCCUUGGCCUUGGCCCCCAAAUGUGCUGCUGUCCUUCCUCAGAUGCCAGUCAGGACAGCGAGACCAUCUCUGUCCCUCAGGAUUGCCUUGGUUGUUGUUUUGGGGAACCCUCAACCUCUUGGCUUACUUCUCUGACUUUAGAUCUUAUUGAAUCUUGGUGUCCUAGUCCACUUACCCUUUUCUUUAUCCCUAGUUUAGUUUUCUGUGUUUGCGAAUGUAAGUAUUUAGCAUUUUAGGCCAUUGCUCCUUGUGUUAACAUACUCAGAGCCCUUGCCCAAGGGUGCUCUUGCUUACUGCUCUUAAUGCAAGCAACAGUUUGUUUGUCCAGUGUCAGUGUAGUGUGUUCCUUUCCUCAGAAACUGGAACAUUCAAGCCUGCAGGGAAGCUCCUUAAACGGGAAGGUCAGCAAUUCAAAACAGCUUCAGGAAGGAACUCUCUAAAACUGACCAAAUUCUCUGUCUCUCCUUCCCAAGAUGUAAACAAGCCAAGCUUCUCAAAAUUCCUCUCAGACAAGCCAAGCUACAAAGAUGACUGUGAGACCAGACCAGCUGCCGGGCAGAAGCAGAAAACAGCCAUGCUGCUUGGAAGAGGCUUAGACCAGCUAGGACUCAAAGGACACUCCUACCUGUGGAGCUGUUGGCAGGCUGUGCAGUGUGCUUCAGGUUCCCAGCUCUUGUGAGCUUGUCACUGAACCCGGGGUGGGCUCUGGUGGUGCAGCUGUCUUUAAAUCACUGAUGCACCUGUAAGUCACCUCACCCAUAUUCCUGUAAACAAUGCCCAUAAAGCUCAUUGGCUCACCAAGCUG
Arvicola amphibius (Eurasian water vole) is the source of this 2810-nucleotide RNA transcript. It is a transcript of the gene named laminin subunit alpha-1-like, with no coding region annotated. The transcript is spliced from 9 exons. The record is from RefSeq and is a predicted model, not a curated record. Lineage: Eukaryota; Metazoa; Chordata; Mammalia; Rodentia; Cricetidae.